This 425-nucleotide ribosomal RNA is filed under the name uncultured bacterium. Its description in RNAcentral is "partial 16S ribosomal RNA". It matches the Rfam family "Bacterial small subunit ribosomal RNA", at positions 354 to 796 of the family's 1533-position model. The record is from RNAcentral.
GUGGGGAAUCUUAGACAAUGGGGGAAACCCUGAUCUAGCCAUGCCGCGUGAUCGAUGAAGGCCUUAGGGUUGUAAAGAUCUUUCAGCUGGGAAGAUAAUGACUGUACCAGCAGAAGAAGCCCCGGCUAACUCCGUGCCAGCAGCCGCGGUAAUACGGAGGGGGCUAGCGUUGUUCGGAAUUACUGGGCGUAAAGCGCACGUAGGCGGACCAGAAAGUCAGGGGUGAAAUCCCGGGGCUCAACCCCGGAACUGCCUUUGAAACUCCUGGUCUUGAGGUCGAGAGAGGUGAGUGGAAUUCCGAGUGUAGAGGUGAAAUUCGUAGAUAUUCGGAGGAACACCAGUGGCGAUGGCGGCUCACUGGCUCGAUACUGACGCUGAGGUGCGAAAGCGUGGGGAGCAAACAGGAUUAGAAACCCUUGUAGUCC